GAUGAACGCUGGCGGCGUGCCUAAUACAUGCAAGUCGAGCGAACGGACGAGAAGCUUGCUUUUCUGAUGUUAGCGGCGGACGGGUGAGUAACACUUGGAUAACCUACCUAUAAUACUGGGAUAACUUCGGGAAACCGGAGCUAAUACCGGAUAAUAUUGUGAACCGCAUGGUUCAAAAGUGAAAGACGGUCUUGCUGUCACUUAUAGAUGUAUCCGCGCUGCAUCAGCUCGUUGGUAAGGGAACGGCUUACCAAGGCAACGAUGCAUAGCCGACCUGCGAGGGUGAUCACCCCCACUGGAGCUGGGACACGCUCCAGACUCCUACGGGAGGGAGCAGUAGGGAAUAUUCCGCAAUGGGCGACAGCGUGACGCAGCAUCGCCGCGUGAGUGAGGAAGGUCUGCCGGUCGGAGAACGCUAUUAUGAGGGAAGAACAUGUGUGUGAGUAGCUGUGCACGUCUUGACGGUACCUGAUCAGGAAGCCACGGCUAACUUCGUG
RNAcentral lists this ribosomal RNA (497 nucleotides) under uncultured bacterium. RNAcentral describes it as "partial 16S ribosomal RNA". It matches the Rfam family "Bacterial small subunit ribosomal RNA", at positions 28 to 507 of the family's 1533-position model. The record is from RNAcentral.